This 490-nucleotide ribosomal RNA is filed under the name uncultured bacterium. RNAcentral's name for it is "partial 16S ribosomal RNA". It matches the Rfam family "Bacterial small subunit ribosomal RNA", at positions 30 to 507 of the family's 1533-position model. The record is from RNAcentral.
AUUGAACGCUGGCGGCAGGCCUAACACAUGCAAGUCGAACGGUAACAGGAAGAAGCUUGCUUCUUUGCUGACGAGUGGCGGACGGGUGAGUCAUGUCUGGGAAACUGCCUGAUGGAGGGGGAUAACUACUGGAAACGGUAGCUAAUACCGCAUAACGUCGCAAGCCCAAAGAGGGGGACCUUCGGGCCGCUUGCCAUCGGCUGUUACCAGAUGGGAUUAGCUAGUAGGUGGGGUAACGGCUCACCUAGGCGACGAUCCCUAGCUGGUCUGAGAGGAUGACCAGCCACACUGGAACUGAGACACGGUCCAGACUCCUACGGGAGGCGGCAGUGGGGAAUAUUGCACAAUGGGCGCAAGCCUGAUGCAGCCAUGCCGCGUGUAUGAAGAAGGCCUUCGGGUUGUAAAAUUCUUUCAGCGGGGAGGAAGGGAGUAAAGUUAAUACCUUUGCUCAUUGACGUUACCCGCAGAAGAAGCACCGGCUAACUCCGUG